UGGCUCAGGACGAACGCUGGCGGCGUGCCUAAUACAUGCAAGUCGUACGCUUCUUUUUCCACCGGAGCUUGCUCCACCGGAAAAAGAGGAGUGGCGAACGGGUGAGUAACACGUGGGUAACCUGCCCAUCAGAAGGGGAUAACACUUGGAAACAGGUGCUAAUACCGUAUAACAAUCGAAACCGCAUGGUUUUGAUUUGAAAGGCGCUUUCGGGUGUCGCUGAUGGAUGGACCCGCGGUGCAUUAGCUAGUUGGUGAGGUAACGGCUCACCAAGGCCACGAUGCAUAGCCGACCUGAGAGGGUGAUCGGCCACAUUGGGACUGAGACACGGCCCAAACUCCUACGGGAGGCAGCAGUAGGGAAUCUUCGGCAAUGGACGAAAGUCUGACCGAGCAACGCCGCGUGAGUGAAGAAGGUUUUCGGAUCGUAAAACUCUGUUGUUAGAGAAGAAUAAGGAUGAGAGUAACUGUUCAUCCCUUGACGGUAUCUAACCAGAAAGCCACGGCUAACUACUGG
Molecule: ribosomal RNA, 516 nt
Filed under: Enterococcus faecium
Lineage: Bacteria; Bacillati; Bacillota; Bacilli; Lactobacillales; Enterococcaceae
Description: bacterial SSU rRNA
Rfam family: Bacterial small subunit ribosomal RNA
Source: RNAcentral